GACGAACGCUGGCGGCGUGCUUAAGACAUGCAAGUCGAACGAUGAAGCCUCUUCGGGGGUGGAUUAGUGGCGAACUGGUGAGUAACACGUGAGUAACCUGCCCUUUACUUCCGUAUAAGCCUUGGAAACGGGGUCUAAUACUUGUAAUGACCGAAGCUCGCAUGGGUGUGGGGGGAAAUAUUUUUUGGUGGGGGAUGGGCUCGCGGCCUAUCAGCUUGUUGGUGGGGGAGUGGCUUACCAAGGCGACGACGGGUAGCCGGGAUGAGAGGGUGAGCGGCCACACUGGGACUGAGACACGGCCCAGGCUCCUACGGGAGGCAGCAGUGGGGAAUAUUGCACAAUGGGCGCAAGCCUGAUCCAGCCAUGCCGCGUGAGUGAUGAAGGCCUUCGGGUUGUAAAGCUCUUUUAUCCGGGAAGAUAAUGACUGUACCGGAAGAAUAAGCCCCGGCAAACUUCGUGCCAGCAGCCGCAGUAA
This 475-nucleotide ribosomal RNA is filed under the name uncultured bacterium. RNAcentral's name for it is "partial 16S ribosomal RNA". It matches the Rfam family "Bacterial small subunit ribosomal RNA", at positions 28 to 523 of the family's 1533-position model. The record is from RNAcentral.